GGGGUUGUGGCUCAGUGGUAGAGUGUUCGCCUAGUGUGUGUGAGGGCCUGGGUUUGAUCCUCAGCACCACA
RNAcentral lists this transfer RNA (71 nucleotides) under Marmota monax (woodchuck). RNAcentral's name for it is "tRNA.Thr". It matches the Rfam family "tRNA". Rfam says of the family: Transfer RNA (tRNA) molecules are approximately 80 nucleotides in length. Their secondary structure includes four short double-helical elements and three loops (D, anti-codon, and T loops). Lineage: Eukaryota; Metazoa; Chordata; Mammalia; Rodentia; Sciuridae. The record is from RNAcentral.